UGAGAAUCACUUGUACCAGACAUCAUCAACUAAUGGAGUGGCGUGCCCUUAUAGUCCUGGUGGUGUUGGCCGUCCACGUCGGCGCUGAUAUACGUCCUGGCCAAGACGGUCACGGAAUCCGUCAAUAUGGUACAGGUGGCGGCUUCAACGGCGGUGGAAUCCGUGACCUAGGCACAGGUGGAGGCUUCAACGGCGGUGGAAUCCGUGACCUAGGCACAGGUGGAGGCUUCAAUGGCGGUGGAAUCCGUC
Long non-coding RNA from Homarus americanus (American lobster), 249 nucleotides. RefSeq lists it as uncharacterized. The record is from RefSeq and is a predicted model, not a curated record. Lineage: Eukaryota; Metazoa; Arthropoda; Malacostraca; Decapoda; Nephropidae. The transcript has 3 exons.